RNAcentral lists this ribosomal RNA (207 nucleotides) under uncultured bacterium. RNAcentral's name for it is "partial 16S ribosomal RNA". It matches the Rfam family "Bacterial small subunit ribosomal RNA", at positions 568 to 774 of the family's 1533-position model. The record is from RNAcentral.
CUCGCAGGCGGACAAUUAAGUUGGGUGUUUAACCUUCAGGCUCAACCUGAAGUCGGCAUCCAAAACUGAUUGUCUUGAGUCCCAGAGGGGAAAGUGGAAUUCUUGGUGUAGCGGUGGAAUGCGUAGAUAUCAAGAAGAACACCAGUGGCGGAGGCGACUUUCUGGCUGGGUACUGACGCUGAGGAGCGAAAGCGUGGGGAGCAAACA